AGUGAACGCUGGCGGUAGGCCUAACACAUGCAAGUCGAACGGCAGCACAGUAAGAGCUUGCUCUUACGGGUGGCGAGUGGCGGACGGGUGAGGAAUACAUCGGAAUCUACUUUUUCGUGGGGGAUAACGUAGGGAAACUUACGCUAAUACCGCAUACGACCUACGGGUGAAAGCAGGGGAUCUUCGGACCUUGCGCGAUUGAAUGAGCCGAUGUCGGAUUAGCUAGUUGGCGGGGUAAAGGCCCACCAAGGCGACGAUCCGUAGCUGGUCUGAGAGGAUGAUCAGCCACACUGGAACUGAGACACGGUCCAGACUCCUACGGGAGGCAGCAGUGGGGAAUAUUGGACAAAGGGCGCAAACCUGAUCCAGCCAUACCGCGUGGGUGAAGAAGGCCUUCGGGUUGUAAAGCCCUUUUGUUGGGAAAGAAAAGCAGCAGGUUAAUACCCCGCUGUUCUGACGGUACCCAAAGAAUAAGCACCGGCUAACUUCGUG
RNAcentral lists this ribosomal RNA (492 nucleotides) under uncultured bacterium. RNAcentral's name for it is "partial 16S ribosomal RNA". It matches the Rfam family "Bacterial small subunit ribosomal RNA", at positions 29 to 507 of the family's 1533-position model. The record is from RNAcentral.